CUACGGGGUGCUGCAGUCGAGGAAAUUUUACAAUGCUCGCAAGAGUGAUAAAAUAAACCAGAGUGUUUCUCCUAGAGAAACUUUUAUUUGUUGUAAAAAGGCAAAUGAAUAAGGACUGGGCAAGACCGGUGCCAGCCGCCGCGGUAAAUACCGGCGGUCCGAGUCGCAUCCACAAUUAUUGAGUCUAAAACAUUCGUAGCUUGUUUUGAAAGUCUCUUGUUAAAUCCUAUAUCUUAAGUAUAGGGCGGGCAAGAGAUACUACAUUACUAGAGACCGGAAGACGCAAAAAGUAUGGUUGAGGUAGCGGUUAAAUGUGUUAAUCCCAAUUAGACUAACAAUGGCGAAGGCAUUUUGCGAGUACGGAUCUGACAGUGAGGGAUGAAGGCUAGGGGCGCAAAAGGGAUUAGAUACCCCGGUAGUC
This 421-nucleotide ribosomal RNA is filed under the name uncultured archaeon. RNAcentral's name for it is "partial 16S ribosomal RNA". It matches the Rfam family "Archaeal small subunit ribosomal RNA", at positions 323 to 746 of the family's 1478-position model. The record is from RNAcentral.